UUUUAUUUUUAUUAUUUUUAUUUUUUGUUAAUUUUUUUUAAUAUAUAACAAUAACUUGAAUGUAAACUAAACACAAUCCUUAUGCGUCAGUCAAUCUCCGAAUGCCCGUUGAAUAAGCUCUGGAGAUUACUCCGUGAGGAGUCCCAAUAGAGGUAUGAUAACCUCGGGGGAUUGCACCCUAUCAAUUACUAGCAAAAAUAAUAAUUUUUUUUUUAUAUUUUUUUGAUUUAAUUAAAAGAUUUUUUUCUUUUUAAACUUCAAAUUUCGAAUCUCAGAAUUCAAAUUUUGAAUUUAAAAAUUUUUUGAAUUUUUGAAUUUUUUUUGAAUUUUAAUUUUUUUUUGAAUUUUAAAUUUCGAAUUUCAAAUUUCAGAAUUUAAUAACUACGAAAUUAUUAACUAGAAAUUAUCAAAAUAAGAAAAAUUAAUAAAAAAAAAAUAAAAACUUACUACCG
This 452-nucleotide long non-coding RNA is filed under the name Phoenix dactylifera (date palm). Its description in RNAcentral is "long non-coding RNA (PDAC_LNC021393)". Lineage: Eukaryota; Viridiplantae; Streptophyta; Magnoliopsida; Arecales; Arecaceae. The record is from RNAcentral.